GCAUAUCAAUAAGCGGAGGAAAAGAAACCAACAGGGAUUGCCCUAGUAACGGCGAGUGAAGCGGCAACAGCUCAAAUUUGAAAUCUGGCUCUCGGGCCCGAGUUGUAAUUUGUAGAGGAUACUUUUGAUGCGGUGCCUUCCGAGUUCCCUGGAACGGGACGCCAUAGAGGGUGAGAGCCCCGUCUGGUUGGAUGCCAAAUCUCUGUAAAGUUCCUUCGACGAGUCGAGUAGUUUGGGAAUGCUGCUCUAAAUGGGAGGUAUAUGUCUUCUAAAGCUAAAUAUUGGCCAGAGACCGAUAGCGCACAAGUAGAGUGAUCGAAAGAUGAAAAGCACUUUGAAAAGAGAGUUAAAAAGUACGUGAAAUUGUUGAAAGGGAAGCGUUUAUGACCAGACUUGGACUUGGUUAAUCAUCUGGGGUUCUCCCCAGUGCACUUUUCCAGUUCAGGCCAGCAUCAGUUUUCGCCGGGGGAUAAAGGCAGCGGGAAUGUGGCUCUCUUCGGGGAGUGUUAUAGCCCGUUGUGUAAUACCCUGGUGGGGACUGAGGUUCGCGCUUCUGCAAGGAUGCUGGCGUAAUGGUCAUCAAC
Molecule: ribosomal RNA, 584 nt
Filed under: Fusarium sp.
Lineage: Eukaryota; Fungi; Ascomycota; Sordariomycetes; Hypocreales; Nectriaceae
Description: partial large subunit ribosomal RNA
Rfam family: Eukaryotic large subunit ribosomal RNA
Source: RNAcentral